This 421-nucleotide ribosomal RNA is filed under the name Lepechinella skarphedini. Its description in RNAcentral is "partial 16S ribosomal RNA". The record is from RNAcentral. Lineage: Eukaryota; Metazoa; Arthropoda; Malacostraca; Amphipoda; Lepechinellidae.
GUGCUAAGGUAGCAUAAUCAUUUGUUUUUUAAUUGAAAACUAGUAUGAAAGGUUUAACUAAAAAAAAUUUUUUUGUUAUUUAUAAAUAUGAAUUUUUAAUUGUAGUAAAAAUGCUUUAAUUUUACAAAGGUACAAUAAGACCCUAAAAAUUUUAUUUUAUUUUUUUAAUUGGGGUAAUUAUUGUAUUUAUAUUUAAAUUAAAUUUUUACAUAAUAAUGUUAUAAGAUCUUAAUAUUUAAGGAAAAUUGUAUAAAUUACUUUAGGGUUAACAGCAUUAUUAUUUAAAUGAGUUCGUAUCUAAUAAAUAAAUUAUGACCUCGAUGUUGAAUUAAAAAAUCUAUUUGAUAUAUAAAGUAAAAAAGAAAGUUUGUUCAACUUUUAUAUUUUUACAUGAUUUGAGUUCAAAYCGGUUUAAGCCAGA